This 92-nucleotide transfer RNA is filed under the name Immersiella caudata. Its description in RNAcentral is "Cercophora caudata tRNA". It matches the Rfam family "tRNA". From Rfam's summary of the family: Transfer RNA (tRNA) molecules are approximately 80 nucleotides in length. Their secondary structure includes four short double-helical elements and three loops (D, anti-codon, and T loops). RNAcentral also lists the same sequence under 1 other name. Lineage: Eukaryota; Fungi; Ascomycota; Sordariomycetes; Sordariales; Lasiosphaeriaceae. The record is from Rfam by way of RNAcentral.
GGCGUGGUGGCAGAGUGGUCUAAUGCGCAAGACUUGAAUUUCCAAGAGAUCUUGUUCCUUCGGGAGCGUCCGUUCGAACCGGGCCCACGUCG